Rattus norvegicus (Norway rat) is the source of this 106-nucleotide small nuclear RNA. The record is from Ensembl. NCBI's taxonomy places the organism in Eukaryota, Metazoa, Chordata, Mammalia, Rodentia, Muridae.
GCGCUCACUUGGCAGCACAUACACUAAAAUUGGAACAGAACAGAGAGGAUUAGUGUGGCUCCUGCUCAAGGAGGACAUGCAAAUUAGCGAAGCUUCCAUAUUUUAA